This 223-nucleotide long non-coding RNA is filed under the name Prunus persica (peach). RNAcentral's name for it is "long non-coding RNA (PPER_LNC002242)". The record is from RNAcentral. Lineage: Eukaryota; Viridiplantae; Streptophyta; Magnoliopsida; Rosales; Rosaceae.
GUUGGUGUAUUGCAUAGUUUUAGAAAUUGGAUUUCACUCAAAAAGCUCCAAAUGACACCUCCCACCAUAUUAUGAAGUUUCCCAUGUUUUGGACUCAAUCCGAUAUCGAUUGGUAAAUGAAGUUGGACAAUUCAGGUUCGUGCGAAGUUCGAUCUGAAAUGGAGUGGUUGGUGUAUUGCAUAGUUCUAGAGAUUGGAUCUCACUUACCAAAUGACUCCUCCCA